GUGUUGUAUGAAAGGAGAGAAGGUUAGCACUGCCCUUGACAAGAAUGGAAGGGGCCCUUGGGCCUGACAACACGCAUACGGUUAAGGCAUUGCCAUCUACUUAAAUUAAUGCUUUAAUUUCAUUGCCUGUUAUUGCCUUAUUCAGGGUUUUAU
This 153-nucleotide non-coding RNA is filed under the name Fukomys damarensis (Damara mole-rat). Lineage: Eukaryota; Metazoa; Chordata; Mammalia; Rodentia; Bathyergidae. The record is from RNAcentral.